This 587-nucleotide ribosomal RNA is filed under the name uncultured bacterium. RNAcentral's name for it is "bacterial SSU rRNA". It matches the Rfam family "Bacterial small subunit ribosomal RNA", at positions 338 to 948 of the family's 1533-position model. The record is from RNAcentral.
CCUACGGGAGGCAGCAGUGAGGAAUUUUCCGCAAUGGGCGAAAGCCUGACGGAGCAAUACCGCGUGAGGGAUGAAGGAUUUUGGUCUGUAAACCUCUUUUCUCAAGAAAGAAGUUCUGACGGUACUUGAGGAAUAAGCAUCGGCUAACUCCGUGCCAGCAGCCGCGGUAAUACGGGGGAUGCAAGCGUUAUCCGGAAUGAUUGGGCGUAAAGCGCCUGUAGGUUGUUUAUUAAGUCCGUUGUUAAAGCCUAGGGCUCAACCCUAGAAAAGCAAUGGAAACUAGUAGACUAGAGUAUGGCAGGGGUAGAGGGAAUUUCUAGUGUAGCGGUGAAAUGCGUAGAUAUUAGAAAGAACACCGGUGGCGAAAGCGCUCUACUGGACCAUUACUGACACUCAGAGGCGAAAGCUAGGGUAGCAAAAGGGAUUAGAUACCCCUGUAGUCCUAGCCGUAAACGAUGGAUACUAGAUGUUGUGCAUUAUGUACAGUAUCGUAGCUAACGCGUUAAGUAUCCCGCCUGGGGAGUACGCUCGCAAGGGUGAAACUCAAAGGAAUUGACGGCUGAGAGNGCGACGCGACACGAGGAGAG